AUCCGUCUGACGAGUCGCAAAUAGGACGAAACUUGUGUUCCGGAU
Schistosoma mattheei is the source of this 45-nucleotide non-coding RNA. NCBI's taxonomy places the organism in Eukaryota, Metazoa, Platyhelminthes, Trematoda, Strigeidida, Schistosomatidae. The record is from Rfam.